AGAGUUUGUAUCAUGGGUCAGUAGCGUGCGCUGGCGGCAGGCUUAACACAUGCAAGUCGAACGGUUCCUUCGGGGACAGUGGCAGACGGGUGAGUAACGCGUGGGAACGUGCCCAUCGGUUCGGAAUAACCCAGGGAAACUUGGGCUAAUACCGGAUACGUGCGAGAGCAGAAAGAUUUAUCGCCGAUGGAUCGGCCCGCGUCCGAUUAGCUUGUUGGUGAGGUAACGGCUCACCAAGGCGACGAUCGGUAGCUGGUCUGAGAGGAUGAUCAGCCACACUGGGACUGAGACACGGCCCAGACUCCUACGGGAGGCAGCAGUGGGGAAUAUUGGACAAUGGGCGCAAGCCUGAUCCAGCCAUGCCGCGUGAGUGAUGAAGGCCUUAGGGUUGUAAAGCUCUUUCGCACGCGACGAUAAUGACGGUAGCGUGAGAAGAAGCCCCGGCUAACUUCGUGCCAGCAGCCGCGGUAAUACGAAGGGGGCUAGCGUUGCUCGUAAUCACUGGGCGUAAAGGGCGCGUAGGCGGACAUUUAAGUCGGGGGUGAAAGCCCAGGGCCCAACCCUGGAAUUGCCUCCGAUACUGGAUGUCUAGAGACCGGAAGAGGUGAGUGGCACUGCGAGUGUAGAGGUGAAAUUCGUAGAUAUUCGCAAGAACACCAGUGGCGAAGGCGGCUCACUGGGUCCGGAUCUGACGCUGAGGCGCGAAAGCGUGGGGAGCAAA
Molecule: ribosomal RNA, 721 nt
Filed under: uncultured Hyphomicrobiales bacterium
Lineage: Bacteria; Pseudomonadati; Pseudomonadota; Alphaproteobacteria; Hyphomicrobiales
Description: bacterial SSU rRNA
Rfam family: Bacterial small subunit ribosomal RNA
Source: RNAcentral